This 3228-nucleotide long non-coding RNA is filed under the name Homo sapiens (human). RNAcentral describes it as "HSALNT0366895". The record is from RNAcentral. Lineage: Eukaryota; Metazoa; Chordata; Mammalia; Primates; Hominidae.
CUAUGUCAGUUUUCCAUGAGAAUCCUCUGCCUGUACAAUAAUAAGUCUACAUGUAAACAAACCCAAAGUUGUGGACUGGAGCUUGGGGUCUCAUUUUUCAGUGUGUAGGUUUCUAGUCCCUACCCCUUUCAGUUCAGCCUCCUCACCUUUCUGCUGUCCUGAGUGUGAAGGAUAGCAGAUGUCUAUCCUUCACAUUGAAUCCUCUGAUUCAGUGUCUCCAGAGAAUAAACCUCCCAUCUCUGUUGAGGUAAGGGUGGGCCGCACAGGCUCUAACUGAUUCUCAAACCAACUUUAAACCAGACCUUCUGUUUUCAGCCCUAUCUGCACAACUACCUUCAGAGGCAUCUUGCAUUUUUAAUUUCUGACACUUUUGGAGUUCCUCAAUGCAAGUGGAAGUUGCUUUUUUUGGCUCUCCCCUGAACUUGUAGAGUACAUAGUUUUCAUCUUUAUUCAGUCUUCUAAGUGAAUUUUCUCAUGUCCAUAUUCUCUCUAAUUUUUCCCAAUUUUCUUGCCAUCUCUGGUCAGCUGUUAUCUUCUCUUUUUUUUCUUUUACAGUUUGUAUUUUUUUAAUCUAUGCAUUAUCAUUUUAGAGAAAUAAGGAGAAGCAAAGAUAAGCAUAUACAUUUAAUCCACUGCACUUAACUAGGAGUUUGUAUUUAAUAAUCCACUUUAAUCAGAUGUCUACCUAACAUUUUAUUGAAUCUUUUCUGCCUCCUUGCUUUUCAGGUUUUUUUUUUUUCUAUUCUUGUAUCUACCAUGUAGGCUUGCCUAUUAUCUUCAUUUAGCAUCCUCAGGCAAAGCUAUUUUUUAUCAUUGCCCUUCCAUUGCACUGUGUACAAUGCUGCUCUUGCUGCCUUGAGUACAUAUUGAUGUAGUACAAAUAUGUGGAUGGAUGGCUGUCUUCUGUUUCUCUGGGUGGGGAAUUUUUCUACACCCAGGGUCCAACAUGGGGCCCGCUACUGACUCAUGUUCCUUAAACUUUAUUGAAUGAAAAAAAAAUGCCUCAGAAAAUUUAAUGGGAAACUCAAUGCAAAGACCUGAAUGUCCAUGGGCCAGUCAAGCUAUAUUCAGUAUCAGGAUUUAGAAGCUUCAGAGAUCAUCUAUUUAAACUACUUUGUUUUACAAAUGAGAAAACUAAAGCCUAAAUGAGGAAAAUAAAACUUAUUAUAUGGUAUAUAGCAGGGACUUUAAUUCACAUUUUCUAAGAUCCUCACCCACAGAUAUUUCUUCCACAAUCUAUUUCUUUAAGCAAUGACAUUUUGAUAACCAGAAGUCAGCAUAUUAAUGGCUCUAUUGUAAACAAUACAUUUUGUUUUUGUUACUGAAUCUAAUUACGUUUGUGAAACAUGAUACAGAUAGCUGUGUACAAAACAAACUGAGGUUAGGAAACUUCAGCAAACCAGAUAAAAGGCUGAUGUUGGAAACCAUGUGAAAUGAUAAAGAUCUGAACUAAGAUGGCAUAUGGAGAAAAAUAUUGAUGGGAUAUAUCAAAAAGCAGAAGAGAGAGAUGCAUUAAAUAAUAGGCAGGAUAAGGAGGAUGUUUGUACCAUUUUCAACAAUAGGCUUUUAUGGCCAAUUUGCAUAAUGCUGUGAUUGAUUCCCAAGCUUUUUUUGAUAAAAGCUUCUUUAUAUUUGUUUCGCAAGGUGUCAGAGCCCCGGCAAUGGAAGGUGGUAGGCUCGGAGGUAGAAAGAAGAAUUUACCCACAGCAGUAUAGGUUUGAAAGGGAAAGUUUUAUUAGAUAGAAAGAACACUGCAGCAGAGUGCAGUGGGGCACUUCAGCAAGAGAGGACUGAGCACACCACGAUGUAUUUUUCCUUAGGGGCAUUUAUGGACCUUGAAGAGGGAGCUUAAGGGUAAUUUGGGCCAUAUUACCCACCUAGGCCAUAAUAAAUAAUUACAUUUGUAGACAUUUUGGUGCCUUGAUGUCAGCAAGGGUUGCACAACGAGUUUCGACAUGUGUGCAUUCCAGAGAUGUAUAGAAAUUUUUGUUACUUAUAAAUUUUUGGGAAAGAAGUCAGAGCAAGUGAUGGCUCUCUAGUGAGUGACUUUGAUAAAAGCCUGUCUAGUCAAACCCCAGAAGAAACUGAACAUUGGUGGAUGAUGGAUUUGGGUUCCAAAUGGACUAUGAAUGUUGUGUCAGUCACCAACUGAAGAGAAUGUAUUCAUGGACAAAUAAAGACACUUGCGAUUUUAAUUGGGUACUCACUUGCUCAGAGUGGCAAGACAAAUUCCAGGUGGCUGUCAUCUCAUUGUGCUCACAUAACCUUCUUAGUGCAUGCAUGAGCAGGAGAAAAAGAGAAAGCAAGCUCUCCGGUGUCUCCUCUUACAAAGGCCCUAAUCCCAUUAUGAAAGUCCCACCCUUAUGAUCUCAUCUAACCCUAAUUACCUCCCAAAGGCCUCAUCUUCACAUAUCAUCACAUUGGAGAAAGGGGCUUCAACAUAUUAAUUUAGGGAGACACAAACAUUCAGUUCAUAACACGUCUAGUGUGUUGAAGAAAUAUCCAGAAGGCCAGUGAAGCUAAAGCAGACUUGGUGAAGGAAACAAUGGUAGGACAUGAGAUCAGAGGGUCUGUUAGCUUGAAAUAUUGGGAACUACUGGAAAAGCAUUACCCUUAUUGUAAAUGAGAUGGGAGCCACUGAAGGGUUUUGAACUAAGAGGUAAUAUAAUCUGAAUUAUGAUUUAAAAGGGGCAUUUUAUCUGUUGUAAGGAGCAUAACCUAUAGGGUGCAAGAAUGCAAGAGAUGAUGGUCAUUUGAACCAGAGUGGUAGCAAUAGCAAUGGUGAGAAGCAGUUGGAUUCUGGAUGUAUUUUGAAGGUAAAGCCAACCUAUUGGAAAUUAGAGAGGGAUUAGAUGUACAGUAUAAAAGAGAAAGAAGAGUUAACUGUAGCUUGAGAAACUAGAGUUGUGAAGGGAUGUACUUGUCAUUAUUGAUGUGGGGAAGACUAGGGGAGGAGCAGGAUUAAGAAGGGGGCAGAGAAAAACAGGAGUGUGGUUUUGGACAUGUUAAACUGAAAAUUUGUAUUAGACAUCCAGGUGGAAAUGUCAGGUAGGCAGUUGUACAUAAAAUUCUUGAGGUUAGGGGAAAGGUCAAAGCUGGAAAUAUAUAUAUAUAUAUAUCAGUGUCACCAGCAUAUAGAUCGUAUUUGAGGCUUUGAGCUCUACGAGAUCAUCAAGGAAGUGAGCAUACCUAAAAAAUAGAAGACGGCUAGGUAUGAGCUGACAGGUG